RNAcentral lists this ribosomal RNA (506 nucleotides) under uncultured bacterium. RNAcentral's name for it is "partial 16S ribosomal RNA". It matches the Rfam family "Bacterial small subunit ribosomal RNA", at positions 29 to 523 of the family's 1533-position model. The record is from RNAcentral.
AGUGAACGCUGGCGGUAGGCCUAACACAUGCAAGUCGAACGGCAGCACAGGAGAGCUUGCUCUCUGGGUGGCGAGUGGCGGACGGGUGAGGAAUACAUCGGAAUCUACUCUGUCGUGGGGGAUAACGUAGGGAAACUUACGCUAAUACCGCAUACGACCUACGGGUGAAAGCAGGGGACCUUCGGGCCUUGCGCGAUUGAAUGAGCCGAUGUCGGAUUAGCUAGUUGGCGGGGUAAAGGCCCACCAAGGCGACGAUCCGUAGCUGGUCUGAGAGGAUGAUCAGCCACACUGGAACUGAGACACGGUCCAGACUCCUACGGGAGGCAGCAGUGGGGAAUACUGGACAAUGGGCGCAAGCCUGAUCCAGCCAUACCGCGUGGGUGAAGGAGGCCUUCGGGUUGUAAAGCCCUUUUGUUGGGAAAGAAAUCCAGCUGGCUAAUACCCGGUUGGGAUGACGGUACCCAAAGAAUAAGCACCGGCUAACCUCGUGCCAGCCGCCGCCGUAA